This 431-nucleotide unclassified non-coding RNA is filed under the name soil metagenome. RNAcentral describes it as "partial contains 5.8S ribosomal RNA, internal transcribed spacer 2, and large subunit ribosomal RNA". The stretch from base 1 to 120 matches the Rfam family "5.8S ribosomal RNA", at positions 35 to 154 of the family's 154-position model. The record is from RNAcentral.
GAUGAAGAACGCAGCGAAAUGCGAUACGUAAUGUGAAUUGCAGAAUUCAGUGAAUCAUCGAAUCUUUGAACGCAUAUUGCGCUCUCUGGUAUUCCGGAGAGCAUGCUUGUUUGAGUAUCAGUAAACACCUCAACUCCCUUUUCUUUUUUGAAAUGGGAGCUGGACUUGAGUGAUCCCAACACUUUUCUCACUGGAAAGUGGCGGGUCACUUGAAAUGCAGGUGCAGCUGGACUUUUCUCUGAGCUAUAAGCAUAUCUAUUUAGUCUGCCUAAAAAACAGAUUAUUACCUUUGCUGCAGCUAACAUAAAGGAGAUGAGUUCUUGUGCUGACUGAUGCAGGAUUCACAAAGACAGCUUCGGCCGACUUUGUAAACUCGAUCUCAAAUCAAGUAAGACUACCCGCUGAACUUAAGCAUAUCAAUAAGCGGAGGA